Molecule: long non-coding RNA, 365 nt
Filed under: Lathyrus oleraceus (garden pea)
Lineage: Eukaryota; Viridiplantae; Streptophyta; Magnoliopsida; Fabales; Fabaceae
Description: Pisum sativum (pea) long non-coding RNA (PSAT_LNC012126)
Source: RNAcentral
UUCAUGAUGGUUCUGUUGUAUGAUACAACAUUGGCAGAGCCCUGUAAUUGAUGCCCUACUCAACUGUUGCAGGUGGUAUGCUUCAACUGAUUCAAGAAAGACAAUACAAUCUGGCACUCAUGCACCAAAUAAUUGCCAUGUUUUGACUGGUCCCCUGGGUGUGACAAGGAUUUGAAUUUCAUUCUGUCAUGGAUUAUUUCCAAUUGGUAUGGCGUUACUUGUUUUUUUUUGUACAACCUGGUUGGUUGGUUUCUUGUAGGUAAAUUGUUGUUGUUGAUUCAUGCAAUGGUCUUGGUAAUUCAAUGGCAAGUUUUUGUGGUUUUAGUUCCAUGGUAAGUCAACACACUUCGUGCUUGGCAUUGAUG